UACGUAGGGUGCAGGCGUUGUCCGGAAUUAUUGGGCGUAAAGAGCUCGUAGGUGGCCUGUCGCGUCGGCUGUGAAAACUCGGGGCUCAACUCCGAGCUUGCAGUCGAUACGGGCAGGCUAGAGUUCGGCAGGGGAGACUGGAAUUCCUGGUGUAGCGGUGAAAUGCGCAGAUAUCAGGAGGAACACCGGUGGCGAAGGCGGGUCUCUGGGCCAUUACUGACGCUGAAGAGCGAAAGCGUGGGGAGCGAACAGG
This 253-nucleotide ribosomal RNA is filed under the name uncultured bacterium. RNAcentral describes it as "partial 16S ribosomal RNA". It matches the Rfam family "Bacterial small subunit ribosomal RNA", at positions 524 to 776 of the family's 1533-position model. The record is from RNAcentral.